CGGAGAGUUUGAUCCUGGCUCAGGACGAACGCUGGCGGCGUGCUUCAUUCAUGCUAGUCGAGCGGGGUGUAGUUGGUGCUUGCUCUGGCUGCGCCUAGCGGCGGACGGGUGAGUAACGCGUGAGCAACCUGCCCUGAGGUUCGGGAUAACACCUCGAAAGGGGUGCUAAUACCGGAUGUGCUUGGUUUCCGGCAUCGGGUGCCAAGGAAAGGGUUUUACUUGCUUCAGGAGGGGCUCGCGUCCUAUUAGCUAGUUGGUGGGGUAACGGCCUACCAAGGCGACGAUGGGUAGCCGGCCUGAGAGGGUGGUCGGCCACACUGGGACUGAGACACGGCCCAGACUCCUACGGGAGGCAGCAGUCGGGAAUAUUCCGCAAUGGGCGAAAGCCUGACGGAGCGACGCCGCGUG
Molecule: ribosomal RNA, 408 nt
Filed under: Bacillota bacterium
Lineage: Bacteria; Bacillati; Bacillota
Description: bacterial SSU rRNA
Rfam family: Bacterial small subunit ribosomal RNA
Source: RNAcentral